Long non-coding RNA from Hordeum vulgare subsp. vulgare (domesticated barley), 3410 nucleotides. RefSeq lists it as uncharacterized. Lineage: Eukaryota; Viridiplantae; Streptophyta; Magnoliopsida; Poales; Poaceae. The record is from RefSeq and is a predicted model, not a curated record. The transcript is spliced from 2 exons.
AAAUUGGAGGACGUCUUAAAAAAGUCUGCAACAAAUAAAAGGAAUGCACGCAUGAAGAAGUACCACCAUAUUAUGGGGCUUGCUCGCUACGCCUGUAACAUGGCUAUGGCCAAAAAAGCUAAAAAUUAAGAGAAAAUCUAUAUUACAACGUGCGCACCGUCGCGCUCAAGUGCGGCGGGUUGCGAUCGCGCGCGGACCUCCGGGGCGCCCGUUAUCCGUCAUGUUACAUGGAAAAAUUGUGCAUAUGUCGGGUGCUACACUCGCAUUUUGAUGUAAGCUAUAGUGACGUGAUGUUACACUAGCACGUCCUGUUCUUUUUUUAUAUUGACGUGAUGUUACAUCGGCGUUUUGCUGUGCGCUACAGUGCGCUACGUGAUGUUACGUCCUGUUUUUUUCAACUAGCACAUCCUGGUUUUUCUCUCCCACACACAUCUGAAAUGAGUUAAGUUUAAUUACCAGGUUUCAUUAGUGAUCAGUUACCUACUAGUAUAUGGCAACUAAGCAUGUUUUAUUCUGGCAACAGCUAAGCUGUAUUUUUGGGCACCUAGGUUUGAAAACAUGCAACCAAGUACACAUAAUCUGAGAGUUAAGUGUUUUCCAAGUUUUGGCAACUAAGUAGUUGUGUAAUUUCUCUAAGAAUGUUUGAAUAUGACAACUAAAACACUUUGUAAUAUGACAACUAGGUAUUUGUAAAUUUGACAUCUAAUUUUAAAAAACAGGUAUAUAACUGAGUACCUACAAUCUCACAGCUAGUGUUUUCCAAAUUUUGCCAACUAAGUAGUUGUGUAAUUUUCUAAAUAUGUUUGAAUAUGACAACUAAUCACUUUGUAAUAUGACAACUAAGUACAUGUAAAUUUGACAUCUAAUUUUUAUGAACAGGAAACUAAGUACUUACAAUCUGACAAUUAAGAUGUUUAAAUUUUGGCAACUAAGUAGUUCGUAAUUUUGGGAACUGACAUUUUAAACUUGACUACUUGUAACGUAGUAAGUAAGAAGUUUAAACCUGGCAACCAAGAACAACUUACCAGUUUAGGGUCAAGGAGAAAAAAUAAUGAUAUUUGAUAGUUGCAUGCAACGUUCAAGGAUGGAUUUGAGGACCCUAUUCCUUUGUAUUGCAACACAUGACACUAGUUUACUGUCGGUCCCGUGACUUUUUGGAGUAUGCAUGCCUGCGUUGCAUCUUUGCGACAGUCUGCCACUGCAUGUAGCUUCUUUUUGUAUUCUAUGAGCUCGCAGCGAGACACGCUAUCGCAAGUGAUUAUUCAUUAGUAGCCGCCGCACGGCAAGACAAGGAUGCGGUGCCCCUAUGUAGUCAAAUCCAAAAAUUAAAAAGAAAUUGGACUGUAAAAAUACAGAGGCCCAAAAAAGAAUGAUAUCUAAAAAAGGCCACAACCCAUGAAAUAGAAAGGCCGAAUUGUAGGGCUUGGCUCGUGUAGCUGAGCAAAAUUGGUAGGAAAAAAAAUAUAAAUUGGUUGAAUUAAUGGGCUCAGCCCAUAUAGAUACCAAACUGGAUCGGACUGACUCUUAUCAAUGACCCUUUCAUUUAGUUGUAAUUUUGCCACAUCAGCUUGCCAUGUCGGAUCCGACAUGGUCUCGCAGGGUGUGAGUGACCAAAACAAUUGUUCAUAGAGCCUACGACUUUUUGUUUUGGUCGUUAAUUUUCAUUAAAGAUGGCCAGUUUUUGAUCAACUGUUUUUUGUCAUAAAAAGGUCGCAAAUGAAAAACAAUGACCAUUUUGUGACCAAUAUUGAUGGCCGCAAGUUAGCAUAUUUCUUAUAGUAAAAAAUUGCACACCCAAUGUCUACCCAGUACACACCUAGGCACAAUUGCAUCUACUUUAUGGAAGAACAUCAUAAUAUUGAAAGAAGAUCUAGCAGCCAAGCAAGAACUUGUGCAGAAGAAAGAAGUUUGGGCAUAGAAGGUGGAGGAUUCACAGUUCUUGGAUUUUCAGAUCUUUAGGCAGAAAUUCCUUCUGUUUAGGCCAUGGAUCUGUAGUUUCUUAUUAACACCGUGGGUAGAGAUGGGAAAGAGCCCUUUCGUGGUGAAGAAGACAAGGUGGGGCGUUUGGCGUGGGAAGGGUCGUGCAGGAAAAAAAAAAGAUAGGCAGGAUCACGUGGGGGAGGACCAGGUAAGGGCGGCUGGCAUACGACGAGGCUGGGCGGCUGGUAGGGUGGCUCACGCGCGUGCCUCCCCCUUUCCUUUGGUGGAUGCGCAGGGGGUGGCAUGUAUUUCUUUUUUUUAUCGUCUGCCUUGGAUCGCUAGCCAGCAAACGACUGCUCGUCCUUUAUUUUAAGACAAACUACACAAUAAUUGCACUGGUUAUCGAAAGUUUCUAUCAAUAAUAAUAAUAAUAAUAAUUAAUAGAAAGUCUAUUCAUCACCUCUGUGCGGAAUAAGUUAUUCUUCACUCGAGGUAAUUUUACGGUCGUUUCAUAAAUAAAUUAUAUUUUAAAUUCAAAUAGUUACAUUCAUAUUGAUUUACACAUAACCCAGAAAAAAUGCAUUUUAUACAUAUUUUACACUAUGUUUUUACAUCUGUAAUUUUACAUAACAAAAAAGAUUUUACGGUCAUUAUAUAUUUUCUUACGUUCUUUUUUUUACGGAUUAAAUAAAAUAAAAUAAACGAAACAUAAAAUUAGUAUGCAUUUAUAUUAAAAUAGGGGGGGUGAAAAAUAACUAUUCCUCACCCAGGUGAGGAAUAGUCAAUCCCUAGUAAUUAAUACAUAUAUAUAUAUAUAUCAUAUAACAAUAAUAAUAAUGAUAAUAAUAAUAAUAAUAAAGCACGGAGUACUUCUCCUCGCGACAGUUUUGUAAAAAAAACUAAUGUUUUGUGUAAUAAAUCCUCGAUCCUUUUUUAGUGGAUUACGAGAAAACUUUUUAAUUUUACAAAACGAAAUCCAUUAAUCUUUCUCGGGCCCAAACCGGGCCGCGCCGCUGCGCGUAGCUCCCUCCUGCCCUCGCUCCCCUAGCGCCCGCAAGCCGCCUUGCCAGCGACUCCACACCUUCGCCACGCCCUGCCGCCGACACCUUCCCUGCCGGACCUCUGGCCGCUCCGCCGCCUCACCCCUUUCCCUUCUCGCUGUCGGUCCCCUCUCACCUCUGUCCCUCUUUCUCGCUGGAAAAGGACCUCCAUGGCACCACCGACCCUCAAUCUCGCUGGAUCUGGCCGCCUCCAUGCCAUAUCCACCAAAAUUGGAACCACCCUGGCCAGAUCCGCCCGACCCCCGGUGUCGUCACCAUUGAAGCGCCGCCCCGCUCGACCUAUAGCAUCACCUUCCACCGGCAGCACUUGGAGAACCUCAUCUCUCUGAUGUGCUCCUACAAGGUUGCAUGUUCUUCUGUUCUUAAGGAAGCUCAAUAGAUGACUAUUCUCAGUGAAGAUGAUACGAGAGAUGUUGUUCUCAAGUAAGC